GCCUACGGGGGGCAGCAGUGGGGAAUAUUGGGCAAUGGGCGCAAGCCUGACCCAGCAACGCCGCGUGAAGGAAGAAGGCUUUCGGGUUGUAAACUUCUUUUGACAGGGAAGAGCAGAAGACGGUACCUGUCGAAUAAGCCACGGCUAACUACGUGCCAGCAGCCGCGGUAAUACGUAGGUGGCAAGCGUUGUCCGGAUUUACUGGGUGUAAAGGGUGCGCAGGCGGAAGAUCAAGUCAGCGGUAAAAUUGAGAGGCUCAACCUCUUCGAGCCGUUGAAACUGGUUUUCUUGAGUGAGUGAGAAGG
RNAcentral lists this ribosomal RNA (305 nucleotides) under uncultured bacterium. RNAcentral describes it as "bacterial SSU rRNA". It matches the Rfam family "Bacterial small subunit ribosomal RNA", at positions 337 to 658 of the family's 1533-position model. The record is from RNAcentral.